AGGGGUGUCGCCAAGCGGUAAGGCACCAGACUCUGACUCUGGUAUUCGUUGGUUCGAAUCCAGCCACCCCUGCCA
RNAcentral lists this transfer RNA (75 nucleotides) under Desulfosporosinus sp. Tol-M. RNAcentral describes it as "tRNA-Gln". It matches the Rfam family "tRNA". Rfam says of the family: Transfer RNA (tRNA) molecules are approximately 80 nucleotides in length. Their secondary structure includes four short double-helical elements and three loops (D, anti-codon, and T loops). Further hydrogen bonds mediate the characteristic L-shaped molecular structure. tRNAs have two regions of fundamental functional importance: the anti-codon, which is responsible for specific mRNA codon recognition, and the 3' end, to which the tRNAs corresponding amino acid is attached (by aminoacyl-tRNA synthetases). tRNAs cope with the degeneracy of the genetic code in two manners: having more than one tRNA (with a specific anti-codon) for a particular amino acid; and 'wobble' base-pairing, i.e. permitting non-standard base-pairing at the 3rd anti-codon position. Lineage: Bacteria; Bacillati; Bacillota; Clostridia; Eubacteriales; Desulfitobacteriaceae. The record is from RNAcentral.